AUUGAACGCUGGCGGCAGGCCUAAUACAUGCAAGUCGAACGAGUGGCGGACGGGUGAGUAAUGUCUGGGAAACUGCCCUAUGGAGGGGGAUAAAUACUGGAAACGGUAGCUAAUUCCGCGUACCCUCGGCUCUGCCCGGAUGGGAUUAGCUUGUGGGUGAGGUAACGGCUCACCUAGGCGACGAUCCCUAGCUGGUCUGAGAGGCUGACCAGCCACACUGGAACUGAGACACGGUCCAGACUCCUACGGGAGGCAGCAGUGGGGAAUAUUGCGCAAUGGGCGCAAGCCUGAUGCAGCCAUGCCGCGUGUAUGAAGAAGGCCUUCGGGUUGUAAAGUACUUUCAGCGGGGAGGCGUUACCCGCAGAAGAAGCACCGGCUAACUCCGUGCCAGCCGCCGCGGUAAUUC
Molecule: ribosomal RNA, 406 nt
Filed under: uncultured bacterium
Lineage: Bacteria
Description: partial 16S ribosomal RNA
Rfam family: Bacterial small subunit ribosomal RNA
Source: RNAcentral